This is a non-coding RNA of Oryctolagus cuniculus (rabbit), 4146 nucleotides long. Lineage: Eukaryota; Metazoa; Chordata; Mammalia; Lagomorpha; Leporidae. The record is from RefSeq and is a predicted model, not a curated record.
GGCUGCCUGACGUGGGUCCCUUGCUUCCCAGUGGUGCUGGAGGAUUUUGAGGCUGGGGCCGCGGCUCACUAGGCUAAUCCUCCGCCUUGCGGCGCCGGCACACCGGGUUCUAGUCCCGGUCGGGGCGCCGGAUUCUGUCCCGGUUGCCCCUCUUCCAGGCCAGCUCUCUGCUGUGGCCAGGGAGUGCAGUGGAGGAUGGCCCAAGUCCUUGGGCCCUGCACCCCAUGGGAGACCAGGAAAAGCACCUGGCUCCUGCCUUCAGAUCAGCGUGGUGCGCCGGCCGCAGCGCGCCGGCCAUUGGAGGGUGAACCAACGGCAAAAGGAAGACCUUUCUCUCUAUCUCUCUCUCUCACUGUCCAUUCUGCCGGUCAAAAAUUAAAAAAAAAAAAAAAGCACAUAUAGAAUCUGGGAAGGUUGAUGUAUAUCUUACACUGUACAGAUAUAAGAAUUAAUAUUUGUUUUAAUUAUAUCAUUUAAAAAUAAAUUUUAGAUUUCCUGUUGGGUCAAAUUAUGCACUUUUCAGAAAUGUAUACAUAUAUACAACUGUAAUUUAUACAUUUUAUAUUUUCCUCCUUUAUCUAGAUUUUUAAAAAUAUUUAUUAGGUUCAGCACUGUGGCAUAGUAGGUAAAAGCCUCGACCUGCAUUGCCAGCAUCCCAUAUGGCCACCAGUUCAUAUCCUGGCUGUUCUACUUCCAAACCAGCUCCCUGCUAAUGUGCCUGGAAAUGCAGAAGAAAAUGGCCCACGUCCUUGGGCUCCUGCACCCAUGUGGGAGACGCAGAAUAAGUUCCUGGAAUCUGGUUUUAGAUUAGCCCAGCUCUGCUCUUGUGGCCAAUUGAGAGGGAACAAGUGGAUCUUCAAAAAUCUUCUUAAAAGAUUUAUUUAUUUAUUUGAAGGGCAGAAAUAUUCCAAUAAUCAGUUCACUCCCCAGAAUGGCCAGGGAUGGGCCAGGCUGAAGCCAGGAACUUUCCCUGGGUCUCCCUUAUGGGUGUCAGAGGUCCACACAACUGGGCCAUCUUUUGCCACUUUCUUACAUGAAAUAACAGGGAGCUGAACCCUAUAUGAGCACCGAUUCUAGUUCCGGCUGCUCCUCUUCUGAUCCAGCUCUCUGCUAUGGCCUGGGAAAGCAGUAGAAGAUGGUCUAAGUGCUUGGGCCCCUGCGCCUGCGUGGGAGACCUGGAGGUGGCUCCUGGCUCAUGGCGUCAGAUUGGCACAGCUCCGGCCAUUGUGGCCAUCUGGGGAGUGAACUAGCAGAUGGAGGACUUCUCUCUCAGUCUCUACCUUUCAAAUAAAUAAAAUAAAUCUUAAAUAAAAAAAAAGUGGAGCAAAUGGGACACAAACUGGCACACAUGUGGGCUGACAGCAAUGCAGGUAUCAGCUUAACCCACUGUGCUACAAAGUGAGCCCAAUCUAGGUUUUUGUAGUAGCUUUCCUUUAUUUAAUCUUUCGCCUUUUUUUCCAUUCUGGUUUCUGAACUCCAUUACAGUGUAUGUGAUAUCCAAAAGUAUGAGGCACAUAACAGUAAUAUCCAUACUUCACAUUAAUACAGACAAGUCUACAUGAGAGUACAGAAAUGUUCCAAAUUCAAUUCCACAUAAAAUGUGACUUUACUUCUGCAUGAUAUAUUCUAUACUUAUUUGUAAUAUGGCUGUUAAUUCAUGAGAAAAUGUGUGUAGCAUGUCUACUGACUGAAUAUGUUGAAUUCAGGGAGCAGGACUUCAGUGCAUGGAGGAAAACUGACAUUCAUGUUUUCUUUCUGAUUUUAUGGAACAUAUUAAGGAAUCAAUUUGUUAGUAAGCAAAAUAUGAUCAGACAACAUUGACUGGUAACUCAAUGCAUAUUUCCAUUAGUGAUGAGUAGCUCAAGACUAACCUCAAAUCUUAGUCCUUGUGGGGUCCUGAAUUAGUCAGUUUCACUCUGUGGUCAUCACUCUCUUUAUAUCACAAGGACUAUAUUUUUCAUUUUUCAUUCAGUUCUAAUCAAGUAUUAGAACUCCUCUUUUUGACUAAGUGCUUGAAAUUAUAAAUGCCAGUCAUUACUUAGAAGCGAUAUUUAAGACCUGGAGAGAGGAAGCGAGUGUAAAGUGCCAAUCAACAACAGUUGUGUGUGGCCUUCCCACUUUGUCUGUUCUCAGGGAUCCACACAGAAUCUUCAUCUGCAAGUCCAAAAUGAGCAACUCCUGCUGUCAGAGAUGUGAUGCUCUCACAGAAGACCAGUGUGUGACUCCAGGUGUACGGAAUGGGGUUCUAAAAGUCCUGUGGACAGUCUGCCUCAUCCAAGAUGACUGUGGGAUGCAGAUGGGUGUUCAGACCAUUUGAGCUGAAAUGUGGAUGAGGUGAAUGAGAUGGUGGCAUUUGAAGACCUGGUGGUGUAUUUCACCCGGGAGGAAUGGGAGGCCAUGACCCAUGCACAGAAGAUCCUGUACAGGGAGGUGAUGCUGGAGAUCUACAGCAGCCUGCUUUCCUUGGGGUUCUGUGUUACCAAACCUGAGUUGAUCUUCAAGUUGGAGCAAGGAGGAGAGCCAUGGAUAUUGGAAGAAGACCUAAAUCAGAGCCUUCCAGUUACCAUGAGAAGGGAUUGUCUAAUUAUGAACAACCAGGAAAACAAAGGCAAAAAUUGAAAUCAGGAUGUUAUAAAAUACAACAGGAUAUCAACUCCCAAAAGUGUUGAAUUAAGAAAAGCACUUAAUUCAAGUUCAAGCCAUAUGACAAAACUGAAGGGAAACUAUUCAGGAAUGAAACCUGUGGAAUGCAAUAUAUUUAAAAAUGUGCAUCUGCCCAGUGGAGCUGAUGAACUUGAAGCUGGAGGGAAAUUUGAUGCCAUUAAAGUACCUGGGAUCUCUCUCCAGUGCUGGGACCAUCUUAGUCCGCAUCACAAGAUUCCGUCUGUGACGCAGACAUUGGAACAUAAUGAAGAGAAAGCCUUCAAUAGUAUGGAGAAAUUUUGUACAUCUGAGAGGGUUCAUAUGCUAGAGACCUGUAAUAAAUCGUCUGUCACUGUUGGAAAGGCAACUCAAAUAGAAAAAAAUUCCAUAAAAAUUCUAACCUCAGUAAGCACCAACACACCCACAAAAGAGAAAAACUUUGUGAGCAUAUUAGGUCUGUAGCAUCUGUCACUUACCAAUCACAUCUUGCAAUAAAUCAGAGACAACAAAUAGGGACAAAAUCCUAUGCUUGUAAACUUUAUGUAAAAUCAUUAAGUUGUAAAUCCUGCCAUUCCAUCCAUCACAGUGCUCACAUACAAGAAAACUUGCGUGUGAGUAAUGAAUGUGUCAAAACCACUUACCAGAAGUCAGAUCUCAUUAGACAUCAGAAAAUUCACAGGCAGAAUAAACCUAAUAAAUGUAAUGAGUGUGGAAAAGCCUUUCUCCAAAAAUCAGACCUUGUAAGACAUCAGAGAAUUCACAGAAGAGAGAAACUGCAUGAAUGUAAUGACUGUGGAAAAACCUUUGGCUAUAAGUCACGCCUAAUGGCACAUCAGAGAAUUCACACAGGAGAGAAACCUCAUGAAUGUACUGACUGUGGAAAAGCUUUUUCCCGGAAAUCACACCUCAUAGCACAUCAGAGAAUUCACACAGGAGAGAAACCUUAUAAAUGUAAUGACUGGAAAAGCCUUUAGCUGUAAGUCAUACCUCAUCACACAUCAGAGAAUUCACACAGGAGAGAAACCUUAUGAAUGUAAAGACUGUGGAAAAGCCUUUUCCCAGAGAUCAUACCUCAUAACACAUAAGAGAGUUCACACAGGCCGGUGAAUAGGCUAAUCCUCCACCUAGCAGUGCCAGCACACCGGGUUCUAGUCCUGAUUGGGGUGCCGGAUUCUGUCCCGGUUGCUCCUCUUCCAGGCCAGCUCUCUGCUGUGGCCUGGGAAGGCAGUGGAGGAUGGCCCAAGUGCUUGGGCCCUGCACCCCAUGGGAGACCAGGAGAAGCACCUGGCUCCUGCCUUCAGAUCAGCGUGGUGUGCUGGCCGCAGUGUGCCAGCCGUGGUGGCCAUUGGAGGGUGAACCAAUGGCAAAAGGAAGACCUUUCUCUCUGUCUCUCUCUCUCACUAUCCACUCUGCCUGUCAAAAAAAGAGAGAGAGAGAGAGUUCACACAAGAGAGAGACUCCAUGAAUGUAAUGACUGUGGAAAAGUGGCCAUAAGUCACACCU